CCACGGAACCCGGCGCCGAGAACCGUCACGCGGCAGUGCGUCUCACACGCGCGCGAGGUUGGGUAUAGUUGCU
This 73-nucleotide transfer RNA is filed under the name Streptomyces hygroscopicus subsp. jinggangensis TL01. Its description in RNAcentral is "tRNA-Gly". Lineage: Bacteria; Bacillati; Actinomycetota; Actinomycetes; Kitasatosporales; Streptomycetaceae. The record is from RNAcentral.